CUAGCGCCUGGACUUCUUUAAUAAAUGAUUAUUAAAAAGUUGACGAGGUCUAGAGUUAUCGAAAGAUUCGGCGGAUACUCUAGUGGUAUGUUACUACCAUAAACUAAAUCAAAAAAUAGUAGAAAUACUUUUAACAAAUUUUAGU
RNAcentral lists this non-coding RNA (145 nucleotides) under bovine gut metagenome. Its description in RNAcentral is "glmS glucosamine-6-phosphate activated ribozyme". It matches the Rfam family "glmS glucosamine-6-phosphate activated ribozyme aptamer", at positions 12 to 155 of the family's 167-position model. From Rfam's summary of the family: This entry contains a glucosamine-6-phosphate activated ribozyme that is found in the mRNA for GlmS. GlmS is an enzyme that uses fructose-6-phosphate and glutamine to generate glucosamine-6-phosphate. The ribozyme catalyses self cleavage of the glmS mRNA that is thought to regulate GlmS activity. The record is from RNAcentral.